Molecule: ribosomal RNA, 253 nt
Filed under: uncultured bacterium
Lineage: Bacteria
Description: partial 16S ribosomal RNA
Rfam family: Bacterial small subunit ribosomal RNA
Source: RNAcentral
UACAGAGGGCCCGAGCGUUGUUCGGAUUCAUUGGGCGUAAAGGGCGCGUAGGCGGCUUGGCAAGUGGAUGGUGAAAUCCCUCGGCUUAACCGAGGAACUGCCGUCCAAACUGCUUUGCUUGAGACCGGGAGAGGUGAGUGGAAUUCCCAGUGUAGCGGUGAAAUGCGUAGAUAUUGGGAGGAACACCAGUGGCGAAGGCGGCUCACUGGACCGGUACUGACGCUGAUGCGCGAAAGCGUGGGGAGCAAACGGG